Molecule: long non-coding RNA, 508 nt
Filed under: Nicotiana benthamiana
Lineage: Eukaryota; Viridiplantae; Streptophyta; Magnoliopsida; Solanales; Solanaceae
Description: long non-coding RNA (NBEN_LNC004140)
Source: RNAcentral
GAAGCUGCAGAUGAUGAGAACGAAGAUGAAGAAGAAACACAAGACAAAGAAGAUCCAAAGUCUGCUAUUACUUGGACGGAGGAGGAUGAGAAAAAUCUAAUGGACUUGGGAAGCUCUGAGCUAGAAAGGAAUCAACGAUUGGAGAGUCUUAUUGCAAGGAGAAGAUCAAGGAAGAACAUGAGUUUGAUAGAUGAGAAGAAUUUGAUAGACUUGGUAAGUGCUGAUUUUCCAUUAAACAUGCCUCCCAUUUCAACAGCAAGACAGAACCCUUUUGAUCUUCCUAGUGAUAACUAUGACCUUGGACUGCCACCUAUCCCUGGGUCUGCUCCAUCUAUUUUAUUACCAAGGCGGAACCCAUUUGAUCUUCCUUAUGACCGCCUAUCCCUGGCUCUGCUCCAUCUAUUUUAUUACCAAGGCGGAACCCAUUUGAUCUUCCUUAUGACCCAAGUGAAGAGAAGCCUGAUCUUACAGGAGACAAUUUCCAACAAGAGUUAAUCACAUCUCAACC